Molecule: non-coding RNA, 81 nt
Organism: Pasteurella multocida subsp. multocida str. Anand1_buffalo
Lineage: Bacteria; Pseudomonadati; Pseudomonadota; Gammaproteobacteria; Pasteurellales; Pasteurellaceae
Source: Rfam
UGCUAUGUGGCGAAAUGGUAACGCAGCAUUCCCAUUAAAAAUGGCAUAUGUAUAUCGUGGGUUCGACCCCCACCAUAGCAC